AUACUGUAUGAUUGGGUUUGACCUGAAAGAUGGUAUUAUUUCUUUAAAAGGGUAACUACCGUUGUUUUCAACCUGGACCCUAUUUUCCUAUGUUUUUGUGUGUAAGUGACUGAUAGGAACAACAAUCUUUGAAAUUGGUCCAGUAUUAAGUGUGAACGCUGUAAACGGCAGCCACAGACCGUGCUGCAAUGUAACCCUAUGCGGCAAAUGUGUUGUCAAUUUGGUCCACUAAAAGUUCUGUUUUUGCCGUUG
Sander lucioperca (pikeperch) is the source of this 252-nucleotide long non-coding RNA. RefSeq lists it as uncharacterized. The record is from RefSeq and is a predicted model, not a curated record. Lineage: Eukaryota; Metazoa; Chordata; Actinopteri; Perciformes; Percidae. The transcript has 3 exons.